UAAAGUCUGAAGUACCCGCCCCAUGAGUAGAGACUAAGAGAAGCUUCGGGGAAGUUUCUCUUGUUACCUUCAGCUGUCUGAUGGGACAACACAGAAAAAAAAUGAGACUCUGACAUGUGCAGGAUGAGGAUGAGAGGUAGCAGAAACACAGGAAAAUCCAAAUGGAUUUGAGGACAACACUUCACAAUGAGUUUUCAUGCUAACCUCACAUCCCAUGUGCUGCUGGUUCUCACGCAGGAAGAAAAAUGGAUCAUUGAGAAUGCCUCCAAACCAAUGUCCUGAUGCUGAGGUUUUUUGCUUGAUGAAGUACCAUUGAAUUGGAAUAGUUAAAGUAAAGAAGGAUGAAGGUCAUGAGACAGUUCUACACUCAGAUGGAAAACCUGAGAACGGAAACAAGGACUUCAGCAAAACCACUGACCAUAUCUGCAAGAGCUGCAUAUACUUGGAGAAGAGGAAAACAGCUUCGUAAUAUUUCAAAAAAUUUGGAUUGAAAAUGUAUGCAUAGAAACCUACCUGUAAGUGCAUGGGGGAUUCAUCUACAGUGUGGCUGGAGCAACUCUGCAUUUCUAAACUUAAUUUUAAGUAUUGUGGUCAAAAAAUAUCAUUCAAGAUUGAGAGACAUUGUUUCUCUGGAAAAGAUGACUUAAGGUAUCGCAAUGAAAUGUGGUAAUUAGGAAAAGGAAGUUGUUUUGACAAAUGGUGUCAUUCAAAAAUAUAGUGUAAAUGACUACAUUUUGUGUUCAGUUAGAAUAAGCUGUGGAAUAUGAAGUCUUUGAUGGGGGGGGAGGGGAAGAAAAAAAAAAAAAAACAAAACACCACUUCUUAUACUUCUAGUUAGGGUUUUCAUUGUGGGUGUAGUGCUGUGGAGAGAACUUAAUAGGAAUUUUGCCUCAGGCUAACUUCUCUCCACAAACAAAAAAUGCAAUUCUAAUGUUUCCAAAUGCCGGGCAUACUUCGUGUUGUGUAUUAAAACAGCCGCUUGUGAACUUUGAUUGAACAGACCCUUGUGAACCUUGAUUGGCUCUUUGUGGUGUAUCAUAAAAUAUGAAGAUACUGUAUGGAAACUACAUGCUGGAAAUGUAAGCCUCCAGGUAAUUUCUAUCUAGUUCUGCAGUCAUGUUGUUAAAAGGGUCACUUGUUAUUGUUUCACUUGACCUUCAUUGAAAUCUGCUCUACUACAACAUCACUGGAUGCAGUCCAAGAUGUUUUAUCUUUUAGCCAGUUCAAAUAUGCCUAGUCAUGCAGUCAUGCUGUAAUUAUUCUUUAUCUCAGUGCAACACAGAUUGCUGAAACGAACUACCUCUUGCCCUUACAUUCUGUUUAGACACAUCCACUAUGUGAGAAAGAACGUAUAAAAAAUUCCUUAUACCUUAUUUUGCAUAAUUUCUGCAGGAACCCCAUACACUCAAAGUCCUCAAUGAAAAAACACUUCAGCAGUCAGAUUAUUUUCAGUCAGUUAUCCAUUCAAAGUCUCAUCCUAGAGGUUCUCCAGUUUUAUAAUCUUCAUAGACGAGAGCCCAAGGUUGCAUGGUCAUAAAUGGCCAUAAAUGGCCAUAGUGGAUUUUUAACUUCAGCAAUUCAACACAGAUUACUUUAAAUCUCUAGCAUUAAAAACAAACAAACAAACAAACAAAAAAAAAAAAACACUUGUAGAAGUCCUAGUUUCUAUUGACUUGUAUGUAUCUCAUUAUCUUAGUUUCUUAUUUACUUUGCUCUGCCACUGAUCUAUGGUUUCUGAUUCACCACAGUGCUACACUACUCUUAUUCUGAAUACAUAACUAUGCCUAGAAAAUUAGAGUAACACAGUAGGGUUACCAAUUUUUUGAUUUUUUUAAUAUUUAAGAGUGUUGAAUAAUGUCAUAACCAAGUCAUUUGACACACAUAAAGCAAAAAUACAUAGAAAACUUUUAUAUUGAUUUUAAUUGUGGAAGUGUACCACACUGUGAGAUGAAAUCUGUGCACAAAUAUGAAAUACACUGAUCUGAUCAGCAAGUUAUGUUGGAGCUUUUGUUAAUCAUUGGAUGACCUUUUUCCUCUCUCUGUAUGUUAUUGAAUUCCAAGAGACAGCAAUAUUAGGAGGAAUUUCUACAAGCAGUGGAGUAGGAGCACUUUAGAUUAGAAAAACUGUAAUAGCUCUAGCAAACGUAACUUUUCACCUCCAAUUUGUCAUUUGCUUUUCAUCACGGUUGAUGACAGAUAAUAGUUUUCUCAUUUAACUUGAAUCUUCUAUGUGGAAUGGAGAAUGACUGUUGCUAAAUUUAAAGGAAAACCUUCUAAAGUAAGAACAAUAAAAAGUAUGGCUUUUGCA
Molecule: long non-coding RNA, 2308 nt
Filed under: Anas platyrhynchos platyrhynchos (common mallard)
Lineage: Eukaryota; Metazoa; Chordata; Aves; Anseriformes; Anatidae
Description: lncRNA (ENSAPLG00000027055.1)
Source: RNAcentral